This 140-nucleotide ribosomal RNA is filed under the name uncultured bacterium. Its description in RNAcentral is "partial 16S rRNA". It matches the Rfam family "Bacterial small subunit ribosomal RNA", at positions 355 to 510 of the family's 1533-position model. The record is from RNAcentral.
UGGGGAAUUUUCCGCAAUGGGCGAAAGCCUGACGGAGCAAUGCCGCGUCGAGGUGGAAGGCCUACGGGUCGUCAACUUCUUUUCUCGGAGAAGAAACAAUGACGGUAUCUGAGGAAUAAGCAUCGGCUAACUCUGUGCCA